AUGUUUCCUGAGAAAAGUGGAGUGUUUUCGGUCAAAAGUGCUUACAAGCUAGCUACAUGUGAUCAUGAUACAACUUUUGCAGGAGGCUCCUCAAGUGCUGCUUCAAAUGGCACUAUAUCACUAAGGAAUUGUGUGUGGAAAUCUUCAGUCCCCCAAAAGAUGAAGAUAACAGCGUGGAAGAUUGUUACUGGGGUGUUACCAACGAAUCAGUACAAAGUGUACAGACAUAUCUCCAAACGAUCAACUUGUCCUCUAUGUGGGGUGGAGGAAGAAGGAACAUACCACGCAUUGGUAGCAUGUACACAUGCAAGAAUCUUAUGGGUAAAUAUGCGGGCUAGAUGGCCCCUUCCUUCUGAUGAUUUUCUGAUUGAUAAUGGUAAAGAAUGGCUUAUGCACCUACUUAGCACUUGCUCGGAUGAUGUGCGAGAUAUGAUUAUAAUGUUGACAUGGCGCAUAUGGCAGUUGCGAAAUGACCAGACACAUGGUAAGGAAGUUCCGUCAAUUCCCAAUACGGUGUAUUUCCUCGACAGUUAUUAUAAAUCCAUCAAGCUGGCAGGGAGCUACUCUACAGAGGAGAUUCUGAAAGGUAAAAUGUCAUCUUCGGCGGAUCAGAUAUCUGUACAAAGGAUGGAGACCCCUGCUCUGCUUUGGCCGGCCCCUAAAUCGGGCACUGUCGCUCUUACUGUGGACGAUUCAUUCCAGGAGGCCGACGGCUCGGCUGCCGCUGGAAUGGUUCUUCGAGACAGCGAUGGCAGAGUCAUUUUUGCUACUUAUCGUGUCUUAUUCUACUGCAACGACUCCUUGGAAGCUGAACUUCAUGCGAUCAUGCAAGACAUGGCCUUGGCCAUCCAUCAUACGACCCUUCCCGUUGUCGUUCAGUCGUCGGACUUUUCAGAAGCACUAGCCAGCCUAUCAAACAAUGCUUUGGUUCGCUCAGCUUAUGGUCAUUUAGUUCUAGAGAUUAAGGAUUUGAUGAGUAGUAGGGAGUUUUUACCUCAAAAAAUUCACCGUAGCCAAAAUAGAGUUGCCGAUUGGUUGGCCAACUAUAGCCGCUCCGAGAGAACUACUGCUGUGUGGUUAAACUCGGUUCCACCUUGUAUUGAGGAUUUGUGGCCUCUCGACUGUAACACUAUAAAUUUGCAAUAA
Molecule: ribosomal RNA, 1146 nt
Filed under: Triticum aestivum (bread wheat)
Lineage: Eukaryota; Viridiplantae; Streptophyta; Magnoliopsida; Poales; Poaceae
Description: partial small subunit ribosomal RNA
Source: RNAcentral